Nymphalis io (European peacock) is the source of this 3098-nucleotide RNA transcript. It is a transcript of the gene named DNA replication licensing factor MCM4-like, with no coding region annotated. Lineage: Eukaryota; Metazoa; Arthropoda; Insecta; Lepidoptera; Nymphalidae. The record is from RefSeq and is a predicted model, not a curated record. The transcript is spliced from 18 exons.
AAUUUCGCGCCAAUACCAAAGUGCCAUACAUUCUAUUUUCUAACAGUCGUGUUAAUAGUAUACAUAACAAGUGGUAAUUUUGAAUGCAUUUUAAACUGAUUUAACGAAGAUGUCGACUCCUUCCAAGCGUCCAUCUUCACGUGCAUCUUCUGAUGCACCUACUCCAUCUCGCCGAACAAGAUCUUCUCAACAACUUGUUGUACCCGAAACUCCUCAUCGAUCAAGCGGUACACCUUCAAAAGAUGGAACACCUGGCACCCCUCGUCAAACUCCACGAACUCCUAAUCAACAAGCCCCAGGCACCUCGCUGGCUCGACCGCUGCCAUCCAGCCCACUUGGAACUGACACAGAUAUGAGUUCCCCACUAAACUAUGGAACACCAAGCUCAUUAAGCACUCCUCGUUCACUACUGCGAGGAGCAAUGACUCCGGCGAGACAGAGAGCUGAUCUGAGAGGCCAUCUAACAGCACCAAAUGUUCCAGCUCCUACACCUACAAGGAGGGUUGAAGCAGGUGAACCAGAAGUAUCGAGUGAACCUCAAUUAGUAGUGUGGGGUACAGAUGUAGCAAUUGCUGAAUGCAGAGAGAAGUUUAUCAAAUUCAUACAAAGAUUUGUCGAACCAAACGCACUUACUAAUGAGCCUUUAUAUGAACUUAAAUUAGAGGAAAUUUUUACAUUAGAGGAGCCUUUUUUGGAUGUUGACUGCGAACAUGUGAAGAUAUUUGAUUCAAAACUACACAGGCAACUUGUGUGUUAUCCUCAGGAAGUCAUUCCAGCAUUUGAUGCUGCUGUAAACGAGCUGUUCUUCGAAAAGUAUCCUGUAGCAGUUUUGGAACAUCAAAUACAAGUGCGACCUUUCAACGCCCCUCAGAGGCACAUGAGGGAUUUAAAUCCAGAAGACAUCGACCAGCUGGUGACGAUAUCGGGCAUGGUGAUCCGCACGUCGGGCAUCGUGCCGGAGAUGCGCGAGGCGUACUUCCGGUGCGCGGUGUGCGGCUCGGCGGCGGCGGGCGAGCUGGAGCGCGGCCGCGUGCCCGAGCCGGCGCACUGCGCGCACUGCACCACGCAGCACAGCUUCCAGCUCAUACACAACCGCUCCCACUUCAGCGACAAGCAGCUCGUCAAGUUGCAGGAGGCCCCAGACGACAUGCCGGCGGGGCGCACGCCGGCCACGGUGAGCGUGCUGGCGCACGGCGCGCUGGUGGAGCAGGUGGGCGCGGGCGAGCGCGUGGCCGUGACGGGCGUGUUCCGCGCCGCGCCCGCCGCCGUCAACCCGCGCCGCGCCACGCUCAAGGCGCUGCACCGCACGCACCUCGACGCGCUGCACUACAAGAAGGCGCACAGCGACCGCUUCCUGGAGACCGAGGAAGGCAAGGAACAUCAAUUUCCUCCAGAACGUGUAGAGCUAUUCAAGGCGCUGGCGUCUCAGCCAGAUUGUUACGAAAGACUCGCCCGUGCCAUAGCACCUUCAAUUUACGAGAAUAUCGAUAUUAAGAAAGGCGUAUUGCUUCAACUUCUCGGCGGCACUAAAAAAAACUUCAAUGCCGCUGGAAGGACACAUUUUAGAUCGGAGAUCAAUAUCCUGCUGUGCGGCGACCCGGGCACGAGCAAGUCGCAGUUGCUGCGCUGGGUGCACGCGCUGGUGCCGCGCGCGCAGUACACGUCGGGCCGCGGCUCGUCCGCCGUCGGUCUCACCGCCUACGUCACCAAGGACCCUGACACACGACAGUUGGUCCUGCAAACGGGUGCAUUAGUGUUAGCUGAUAAUGGUAUAUGCUGUAUAGAUGAGUUUGACAAGAUGAAUGACUCCACUCGAAGUGUACUUCAUGAAGUGAUGGAGCAACAGACACUAUCAAUAGCAAAGGCCGGUAUCAUCUGUCAACUUAACGCGCGUACGUCGAUCCUAGCCGCCGCCAAUCCCGCCGAGUCUCAAUGGAAUAAAAACAAAACUAUUGUUGAAAAUGUACAACUACCUCACACACUUAUGUCCAGAUUCGACUUAAUAUUCUUAGUAUUAGACCCACAAGACGAAAUUUUUGACAGAAGACUGGCAUCCCAUCUUGUAUCGCUGUACUAUAAGGACCCAACUGAAACUCUGGAAGAUGAGGAUGCUGUCAACAUGAGUCUAAUGCGCGACUACAUCGCCUUCGCGAAGGAACACGUGCAGCCGACGCUCAGCGAGCCCGCGCAACAGAGACUCAUCGACGCGUACGUGGACAUGAGACGAGUUGGUAGCGGGCGAGGGCAGAUAUCUGCAUAUCCGAGACAGCUGGAGUCGCUCAUACGGUUAGCGGAAGCGCACGCGAGGGUGCGGCUGUGUCCUGUAGUUGAAAUUAUAGACGUUGACGAGGCUGCUAGACUGCACCGCGAGGCACUGAAGCAGUCGGCCACGGACCCGGCGUCGGGGCGCAUCGACGUGGGCAUCCUCACGACGGGGCUCGGCGCGGCCGCGCGGCGCCGGCGCGCCGAGCUGGGCGCGGCGCUGCGCGCGCUGCUGGAGCCCGUGCGCCGCCCCGCCACGCUCACGCACGCGCGGCUGCUGCAGGACGUCAACGCCAACUCGCAGAUCACGGUGACACGAGACCAAUUAGAUGAAGCACUCCGAGAUUUACAGGAUGAAGGAAAAGUCGUAGUCGUCAGUCACACGCAUGUACGAAUUUGUUAAAAUACACGCAUUAAUCCAGUUGAGCUUAAAACUGCAGGUGGUAGGGCACCGCUCAUUCUCCAUCUAUAGUAAUACUUCACUUAUCAUCAAUGUUCAUGGGCACACUUAUCAUCAAGUGACCUAAAUACUCGUCUGGCAAAAAAAGCAAAGUAAUGUAUACCGAUUCAUCGACUUUCAGCAUUUAACCAUCAGCUCCAAUAUUGAUUUUUACAGAAUAGCUUUACUGUACAUUCAAAUAAUGGUAGUUUUGUCCGCCUUAUUUUAUCGAUUCAAUGGUGUUUUAUAGUUAAGUUACUUUAAGUUGAUAUCGUUUUUGUAUUUUUUAUAUUCUUCAAGCUAAAGAUAAAUGUGUUGAAAAUGCAUGUUUUCGAUUUUUAAUAAUAUGUUAAAAUUGUGUAUUUAACCUCGAAAAUUGUAACCUUAAAUUUGUGGA